This 1421-nucleotide unclassified non-coding RNA is filed under the name uncultured fungus. RNAcentral's name for it is "sequence contains 18S rRNA gene, ITS1, 5.8S rRNA gene, ITS2, 28S rRNA gene". The stretch from base 518 to 1421 matches the Rfam family "Eukaryotic large subunit ribosomal RNA", at positions 1 to 961 of the family's 3401-position model. The record is from RNAcentral. Lineage: Eukaryota; Fungi.
GGAAGGAUCAUUAAUGAAAUGCAAGGAUGCUCUUUUUAGAGGUCCGAUCUUUCAUUUUCCUUACACUGUGAACUAAAUUUUUACACCCUUUUUAAACGCAUGAGUUUAAGAAUGUCACAAGUCUCUUAAUUGAGCAUAAAACUUGUAAAACUUUCGGCAACGGAUCUCUUGGCUCCCGCAUCGAUGAAGAACGCAGCGAAAUGCGAUACGUAAUGUGAAUUGCAGAAUUCAGUGAAUCAUCGAAUCUUUGAACGCAUCUUGCACUCUUUGGUAUUCCGAAGAGUAUGUCUGUUUGAGUGUCGUGAAAUUCUCAACCCUCCUAUUUUGUAAUGAAAUAGGUUGUGGGCUUGGAUUAUGGCUGUCUGUCGGCUCGUGACGAGCCGGCUCGGCUGAAAUACACGAGCAACCCAGCUGGAACAGCGACGGCUUGACUCGGCGUAAUAACCUAUUUCGCUGAGGACGUCGCACUGUACGUUUCAAGUAGCGGUGCUUCUAAUGCAAAUCCAUCUUAAGCUUUAGACCUCAAAUCAGAUAGGACUACCCGCUGAACUUAAGCAUAUCAAUAAGCGGAGGAAAAGAAACUAACAAGGAUUCCCCUAGUAACGGCGAGUGAAGUGGGAAAAGCUCAACUUUGAAAUCUGACAGCUUUGCUGUCCGAGUUGUAGUCUCGAGAAGCAUUUUCCGCGCCGAAGCAUGUAUGAGUCUGUUGGAAUACAGCGUCACAGAGGGUGAGAACCCCGUUCAUGACAUGCCUUUCGGUGCUUUGUGAUAUGCUUUCGAUGAGUCGAGUUGUUUGGGAAUGCAGCUCUAAAUGGGUGGUAAAUUCCAUCUAAAGCUAAAUAUUGGCGGGAGACCGAUAGCGAACAAGUACCGUGAGGGAAAGAUGAAAAGCACUUUGGAAAGAGAGUUAAAAGUACGUGAAAUUGUCGAAAGGGAAACGCUUGAAGUCGGACGUGCAGGGCAACUUGCAGGCCAACAUCGGUUUCAUCAGCCGGAUAAAGGUGGAGGGAAGGUAGCAGCUCCGGCUGUGUUAUAGCCCUCCACUGAAUACGGAUGGAGAGACCGAGGACCGCAGCUUAUGCUUAGGAUGUUGGUGGAACGGCUUUAAACGACCCGUCUUGAAACACGGACCAAGGAGUCUAACAUGCUUGCGAGUGUUUGGGUGUCAAACCCAUACGCGUAAUGAAAGUGAAUGGAGGUGGGAUCCGCAAGGAGCACCAUCGACCGGUCCGGACGUUUACUGAAGGAUCUGAGUAAGAGCACGUAUGUUGGGACCCGAAAGAUGGUGAACUAUGCCUGAAUAGGGUGAAGCCAGAGGAAACUCUGGUGGAGGCUCGUAGCGGUUCUGACGUGCAAAUCGAUCGUCAAAUUUGGGUAUAGGGGCGAAAGACUAAUCGAACCAUCUAGUAGCUGGUUCCUGC